Molecule: long non-coding RNA, 617 nt
Organism: Zingiber officinale
Lineage: Eukaryota; Viridiplantae; Streptophyta; Magnoliopsida; Zingiberales; Zingiberaceae
Exons: 4
Source: RefSeq, a predicted model, not a curated record
CGGUGCCCUAGCUUCACCCCGUGCCUUUUCCCUUCCUUUGUUUUCACCGACACCUCGCCAUUUCACCCGACUGCGCCGACGGGCUCAGCAGCGACGAUCGCCCGCGACUAAUCGCCGGCGUCGGGAUUGUGAGACCAGUCUCCGGUCUCCUCCCCGCCUGAUCGGAGAUCUCAUCGGUGGCAUCCUUCGUCGAAACGUAGCUUCGCGCAAGGGAUUCUCGGCCGGGAGAGGGGAAAUCGAUCUCCGGUGAUGCUGGAGUGAGAUCUCUUGUUCCAGAGCUCCAUGGUGGCGAGAACCAGGUAGCUGAUCCAUUUUCCCGAGCCUUAGAGCCAAGCCGAUUACGUCGGGUUUCCCUUCCGCCGCUUGUGGUGGCUCCUGGCAGUGAGUGUCACACUGGGAGGAGCACGACCAUACCCUCCAGCAACUGUUCUUCACCGGGAAGCAGUAGCUCUAUAGGAGUUUUGAUCAGUGGAGCUGCGACAGCAGGCAGCACCAGUGAGAUUGUGCCAGGGGUCUCACUUACCGGCAGUGAGUCAACAGCGGGGAGUUAGGUAAGGACUCUGAUCGCGGGUGUCGUGACGAAGUUGACGUCGGAUUUAACCUACAUUAGAGGCGGG